Molecule: ribosomal RNA, 402 nt
Filed under: bacterium
Lineage: Bacteria
Description: partial 16S ribosomal RNA
Rfam family: Bacterial small subunit ribosomal RNA
Source: RNAcentral
UGGGGAAUUUUGCACAAUGGGGGAAACCCUGAUGCAGCGACGCCGCGUGAUUUAGAAGGCCUUCGGGUUGUAAAAAUCUUUUCUAUGGGAAGAAAAUGACAGUACCAUAGGAAUAAGGACCGGCUAAUUACGUGCCAGCAGCCGCGGUAAUACGUAAGGUCCGAGCGUUGUCCGGAAUCAUUGGGCGUAAAGGGUACGUAGGCGGGUAAGCAAGUUAGAAGUGAAAUCCUAUAGCUCAACUAUAGUAAGCUUUUAAAACUGCUCAUCUUGAGGUAUGGAAGGGAAAGUAGAAUUCCUAGUGUAGCGGUGAAAUGCACAGAUAUUAAGAGGAAUACCGGUGGCGAAGGCGACUUUCUGGCCAUAACCUGACGCUGAGGUACGAAAGCGUGGGUAGCAAGCAGG